UUAAAAGCAACAGUAAAAGAACUUGUUUUAGAUUAUGAAGUUUUGGUAUAAAUUUUUCUUUUUCUUUUUUGAGAUAUAUAUAUAUAUAUAUAUACAUGUGAAUUUUCAUUUAAAUGAAAAGUUGUUUUACAAACUAAGUUUAACAGCUUAGAAUCAAUUAAAUUUUCUAAAAAAUGUAAAUAAAUCAAACUAAAACUAACAAAUAAAAAUUUUUUAUAUUUGCAUACAAAAUCCAAAAACUUUGAACGCACCCUUAUGUUCGUUUACCACACAUUGAUU
RNAcentral lists this long non-coding RNA (279 nucleotides) under Capsella rubella. Its description in RNAcentral is "long non-coding RNA (CRUB_LNC005124)". The record is from RNAcentral. Lineage: Eukaryota; Viridiplantae; Streptophyta; Magnoliopsida; Brassicales; Brassicaceae.